CUGUACCACGCGAGCACUUCGAUCCUGAGCGCGACGGACGCACCCACCUGACGGUUGCGCGUUACGUUUGUUAACC
Molecule: small RNA, 76 nt
Filed under: Xanthomonas nasturtii
Lineage: Bacteria; Pseudomonadati; Pseudomonadota; Gammaproteobacteria; Lysobacterales; Lysobacteraceae
Description: sX9 sRNA
Rfam family: Xanthomonas sRNA sX9
Source: RNAcentral